AACGAACGCUGGCGGCAUGCCUAACACAUGCAAGUCGAACGAGACCUUCGGGUCUAGUGGCGCACGGGUGCGUAACGCGUGGGAACCUGCCCUUAGGUUCGGAAUAACUCCCCGAAAGGGGUGCUAAUACCGGAUAAUGUCUUCGGACCAAAGAUUUAUCGCCUUUGGAUGGGCCCGCGUUGGAUUAGCUAGUUGGUAGGGUAAAAGCCUACCAAGGCGACGAUCCAUAGCUGGUCUGAGAGGAUGAUCAGCCACACUGGGACUGAGACACGGCCCAGACUCCUACGGGAGGCAGCAGUGGGGAAUAUUAGAAAAGGGGCGAAGGCCUGAUCGAGCAAUGCCGCGUGAGUGAUGAAGGCCUUAGGGUUGUAAAGCUAUUUUACCCGGGAUGAUAAUGACAGUACCGGGAGAAUAAGCUCCGGCUAACUCCGUG
RNAcentral lists this ribosomal RNA (433 nucleotides) under uncultured bacterium. Its description in RNAcentral is "partial 16S ribosomal RNA". It matches the Rfam family "Bacterial small subunit ribosomal RNA", at positions 29 to 507 of the family's 1533-position model. The record is from RNAcentral.